UGGUCUUUUAUUAUUAAGAGGAGGAUGUUGUUGUUUUAGAAGAAGAAGUGUUAUUAUAUUAAGAGGAGGAGGAUGAUUUUUUUUAUGAAGAAUUGGAAAUAUAAUAAUAAGCCUAGCAUCAUGAUUUUUUUUAAGAAGUUUUUAUAUUGUCCAAAGUGAACUAGUCUGUUUUUCCUUUAAGGAGGGGUCACAAUAAUAGUCAAACAACUUUUAACAACGUAUCUCUUGUCUCUCGCAUCUAAAAAGAACGCCGCGAAAUGCGAUAAGUAAUGUGAAUUGCAAAAUUCGGGGACUCAUCGAAUCUUUGAACGCACCUUGCGCUCCCCGGUAUUCCCGGCAGCACACCUGGUCGAGCGUCGAGAAUUCUCAAGCUUAUCCCUGUUUUUCAUCUUCCCCUUGGUUGUUGGGCUUUGCCGUGCCCCUCUUUAUUGAGGGAACGGCUGGCCUUAAAAGCAUUAGCUGACUCUCAUGUAGGAUUGGUUCUACUCUCCGUGAUAAUAUUUCUGACCCAC
This 512-nucleotide ribosomal RNA is filed under the name uncultured Clavulinaceae. RNAcentral's name for it is "eukaryotic LSU rRNA". The stretch from base 206 to 359 matches the Rfam family "5.8S ribosomal RNA". The record is from RNAcentral. Lineage: Eukaryota; Fungi; Basidiomycota; Agaricomycetes; Cantharellales; Hydnaceae.